Long non-coding RNA from Penaeus indicus, 3364 nucleotides. RefSeq lists it as uncharacterized. The record is from RefSeq and is a predicted model, not a curated record. The transcript is spliced from 3 exons. Lineage: Eukaryota; Metazoa; Arthropoda; Malacostraca; Decapoda; Penaeidae.
UUAUUGUUAUUAUUAUUAUUAUUAUUAUUAUUAUUAUUAUUAUUAUUAUUAUUAUUAUCAUUAUUAUUAUCCAUUUUCAUCAUUAAUUUUAUUAUUAUAACAUACUAUAAACUUUGUUAAAAAUAUUCAUUGUUUACAAAAAUUCAAGGAUUGAGGUAAGUAGGUGAAAUUAGGCAGGAUUAGUAAUUGUUGACUCAAACACUUGUGGACCCGUCUGUAUAAACAAAAAAUCAGUGGAUAAUGCAUAUAUGCAAUGGGAUCAUUGUAUAGCAGUUGACUGCUCUUCCUAUCACAUUUACACUCAAGGUGUGGACUGCCCUUGGUGAAUGCUUGUGAAAAGUUCCAGAGAAGUCUUGCUACUUUCAGAGAGUAUCCCACAUGGUAUUAAUGUAUGAAAUGUGUGAAGAAUAUUUUAUGUAGUUAAAACAGAAACAUGGUUUCAAUGCAGAUUUUACAAACUUUGAUAUUCUGAUGCAGAAUGUUAAACUCUAAGUGCUUUUUUAUCAUUUUUAUUCCUUUGUUCAUCAUAUAGAGCAAUAAGUUGUCUUUUUGUAAUAUUGGUGUUAUUCUAUCAAUUUUAGGUAAACUUUUCAUCUUUUUUACUUUGUAAUCAGUCCCCUUUUAGUAGGGGUUAGGAUUAUUAACCCCUUGGAUCUGAGUUCUUCGCAACCUGCAUGUUGCCUAAUACACGGCUUACUUGAGUGGCCUCUCACAGGUGUGUGGUUUGUAGGCCCACACAGAUACUCAUUUGUAGUGUCAAGGCUCCUUGCCUCUCCAAUGCAAUGUUAUAUCUUUGCGCAUAAGCAUUUUGUUUCUCCAAUUUCUUAUGUUAUUGUCAUUUGAUGUGCUGUAUCCAGAUGCUAAUGGACUAUUUUCCUUACAUAAACUUAAUAUCAUCUCUCUGGGUAGUCCAUAACUCAGUGCACUGAUAAUAACAAGUAGCAUUUUGUUGUCAUUAAAUUUUUUUUCCAUAAUACUCAGUUUUCUGUAAUACAACUGUAAUACAAAGUCCAUCAAAGUGGGCAGGAAUAGGAUAGCAUGGAAAUAGUUUCCUCCCUGGAGCUAGCACUCUCCUAUAUAAUGCUGGAGCCCCUUCCUAAAUGCCCACUGAGUCUAUUCACCCAUCAAGAACUUUCUGCAAAGCGGUGAGUCAUUCUUGUCACCCUGGCCUUCGGGUGAAAUUUGCAUGACAGCAUUUUCCUGUCACUCCAGCUCUCAAGCAAAAUUUUUCAAUGAUGGCACAUUCACAUCACCUGGUUCUCAAGCCAAAUUUUUCCACGACAUGAAGGUCACAUAUUAUGAAUCCAAGGGGUUAAAAACCGCUUUUCUGGAUGUAAUUAUCCAGUGCUCAUUGAGAGAGAAGUCUCCAUGAAACGUAUGAAUAUUCUUUAGUUUAAGAAAGUAGCAAUAAUCAUAAAUCAUAAUCAAUCAAAAUAAUCAUUGAUUAUUAUUAUUAUUAUUAUUGAAGAAAAGGUCUUGGCCAAAUGCAUGAACAUUUACAUAAAUUAUUUUCAGAUGUGACUCUUAUUUUAAAUAUUUACCAAUAUGUAUGCUGAUACACAAUUAAUGAAAUGGAAUCUUCUCUCAGAUGGUAUUCUGUCGAGGAAGAGGAUAUGGCUACCGACGCAACACCAGGAUGGGGGUAGUGACGUGAUGUGGAACGCUGCCUGAACAGGGCAUCAGUUUGGCACAGCAGAAGGGUGAUGCAUUAAUAGGGGGGAGGGGGGGCAAUUAUUGAGGCACCAAGGAGGCAUUCACAACUGCACAGGGUGUAGUCAGAGGAGGUUGGCCUCUGCUGUGGGGAUAUGCACCCUGGAGUCAAGGUGAGAUGAUGACUGUGGUGAAGUAGAAGAGGCUGAGGAGUAGCAGUUUAGGGUGGAGACCAAUCAGAUUGAGCCAUGAAAUGUAGAUGCAGUAGCAGUGAUAGGAAGCUAAUGGUCUUGUAUUUCCCAUCAGGCAAAGAGGGAGAGUGGCUAAAUAAAAAUGAAUGAGGGAAAGUGGGGAAGGAAGGGGUAGAAAGGAACUGAAUGUGAAUUCUAUUAUUUUUUCUUUGCUAUUGAAAUUGAUGCCGUUAUUGGUAUUAUUGACAUUAUUAUUAUUAUUAUUAUUAUAUUAAAUUGUAGCAAGAAACAAUUUUAAAGAAAAAAUUCCCAGAAAUGGGAAUUAAGCCAGGAGAAGAAGAGUACAUGUUGAGAUAUUUAUGUGCAAACACAAUCAAUAAACUAAAAUCACAGUGGAUAUGGCAUAUAUGUCAUGCCAUCAUAGCAUAAGGGAUUUCAGAGAAAAGCUAGGGCCUGGUUUUGGAAGAUUAAGGCUCCUAAUGCUCUUCCUAAAUUUGAAUUUAUUUGGAGGUGACUCUUUAGGGGCAGAUUGCGAGUUGUGAUUUAAUUUAACAAAUGACACCGAAGACCAUAUUUUGGCAAAAGAAUAAUUUUUCUUGGCUCUGGACAUUACCUCCUAAUGUUCUUAUUUGUGUGUGAAUACUAGUGAUAUUGUGUAGAAUUUAAUGAAGUACCAUAAUAUCAGCAGGUAAAGUUCUUUAAGUAAGGUACACUAAAAUGUGUGCUAAAUUGAUUAAUGAUGAUUCUGACCUUUUUAACUUUUGAUGCCAGGAAUGCUUGUAUACUUGCACAGCCCACUGUGGUUUUGUUAUUAAAUUUGUUUAAAAUCAUGACUCCAGAAGUGCUUUGUCACCAAGGAAUUAAUUAUUAAACCUGUGUCACUUGCAUUUGUCUACCCCAUACCACCAUCACCACCACCCCACCACUACCGCCAUCACCACCGCCAUCACCACCGCCAUCACCACCGCCAUCACCACCACCCCACCACUACCUCCAUCAUCCAACAUCAGUCAUCAGUCAUCAAUCAUCAAGGAAUUGGUUAAAUGCUAGGAUCAUAAAGGAUUGGUGACACUUCAUCUCUAGCCAUUUGUAUGUAAACAAAUUUUAAGUAAAUAACCGCUGUGAAUAAUACAUGUACCAGGCAUAUCAUGGAUCAAGAUGUGGAAGAAGGUAGAUUCAAGUAUAGGCAAUUGAAUAAUAUGAAUGGUCUGGGCAAUUGAGUAAUUUUAUUAUGGUUAACUUUUUUCAGAAUAGUUAUUGGUGAGGAUGUGAACAUGUGACGUUUUUCUCCUCUGGAAGUUUUAUUGGCUAUAUUUAUUCAGUUUUUUUCUGUAUAAAAACUUAAAUAUUCUGGUAAUAUUUAUUUCAAUUUGUUCCAUAUUCUUAAAAUUAUACUUGCUUUAGGAUUUGAAGUCAAGUAAUCAUGUAUAUCUAAACUAUUGUAAAAUCACUAUCUUUUAUAUUGAAUGUGUGUUUUGGAAGCACUUCUGUGUUUCCUCAUUUUGUAAGAGCCCAAAUAAAAU